AACGAACGCUGGCGGCAUGCCUAACACAUGCAAGUCGAACGAGACCUUCGGGUCUAGUGGCGCACGGGUGCGUAACGCGUGGGAACCUGCCCUUAGGUUCGGAAUAACUCCCCGAAAGGGGUGCUAAUACCGGAUAAUGUCUUCGGACCAAAGAUUUAUCGCCUUUGGAUGGGCCCGCGUUGGAUUAGCUAGUUGGUAGGGUAAAAGCCUACCAAGGCGACGAUCCAUAGCUGGUCUGAGAGGAUGAUCAGCCACACUGGGACUGAGACACGGCCCAGACUCGUACGGGAGGCAGCAGUGGGGAAUAUUGGACAAUGGGCGAAAGACUGAUCCAGCAAUGCCGCGUGAGUGAUGAAGGCCGUAGGGUUGUAAAGCUCUUUUACCCGGGAUGAUAAUGACAGUACCGGGAGAAUAAGCUCCGGCUAACUCCGUG
RNAcentral lists this ribosomal RNA (433 nucleotides) under uncultured bacterium. RNAcentral's name for it is "partial 16S ribosomal RNA". It matches the Rfam family "Bacterial small subunit ribosomal RNA", at positions 29 to 507 of the family's 1533-position model. The record is from RNAcentral.